Molecule: ribosomal RNA, 465 nt
Filed under: uncultured bacterium
Lineage: Bacteria
Description: bacterial SSU rRNA
Rfam family: Bacterial small subunit ribosomal RNA
Source: RNAcentral
CCAGACUCCUACGGGAGGCAGCAGUGAGGAAUAUUGGUCAAUGGCCGAGAGGCUGAACCAGCCAAGUCGCGUGAGGGAUGACGGCCCUACGGGUUGUAAACCUCUUUUGUCGGGGAGCAAAUUCCGCCACGCGUGGCGGAGUCGAGAGUACCCGAAGAAAAAGCAUCGGCUAACUCCGUGCCAGCAGCCGCGGUAAUACGGAGGAUGCGAGCGUUAUCCGGAUUUAUUGGGUUUAAAGGGUGCGUAGGCGGACGGACAAGUCAGGGGUAAAAUGCGGGGCCUCACCCUCCGCCUGCCGUUGAAACUGGCGGCCUCGAGUGGGCGAGAAGUAUGCGGAAUGCGUGGUGUAGCGGUGAAAUGCAUAGAUAUCACGCAGAACUCCGAUUGCGAAGGCAGCAUACCGGCGCCCUACUGACGCUGAGGCACGAAAGCGUGGGUAUCGAACAGGAUUAGAUACCCUCGUAG